RNAcentral lists this ribosomal RNA (110 nucleotides) under Alligator mississippiensis (American alligator). Lineage: Eukaryota; Metazoa; Chordata; Crocodylia; Alligatoridae. The record is from RNAcentral.
UUCUGCUGGACUAAAUGUACUUAUUCCCAUCUGAUAUUUGAAAUUAAGCAGUUCUAGCCUUGUUAGGACUUGGAUGAGAGAUCACAUUGGAACUGUAAGCAACACAGAUA